GACGAACGCUGGCGGCGUGCUUAACACAUGCAAGUCGAACGGUGAAGCUCCAGCUUGCUGGAGUGGAUCAGUGGCGAACGGGUGAGUAACACGUGAGCAACCUGCCCCUGACUCUGGAAUAAGCGCUGGAAACGGCGUCUAAUACUGGAUACGAGAAGGGUCCGCAUGGGCACUUUCUGGAAAGUUUUUCGGUUGGGGAUGGGCUCGCGGCCUAUCAGCUUGUUGGUGAGGUAAUGGCUCACCAAGGCGACGACGGGUAGCCGGCCUGAGAGGGCGACCGGGGCCACAGGGGCAGAGAGACGGCCCAGAGACCCACGGGGGGGAGGGGGGGGGAAAAUUUCACACAGGGGGCAAACCUGAGGCACAGCCGCCGCGUGGGGGAGGUGGGGCUUUGGGUGUGAAACCCCUUUUAGCGGGGAAAAAAAGAAAAGGAGGGGGCCCGUAGAAGAAGCACCGGCGAAAACCGC
RNAcentral lists this ribosomal RNA (467 nucleotides) under uncultured bacterium. Its description in RNAcentral is "partial 16S ribosomal RNA". It matches the Rfam family "Bacterial small subunit ribosomal RNA", at positions 28 to 506 of the family's 1533-position model. The record is from RNAcentral.